AGGGUUUGAUCAUGGCUCAGAGCGAACGUUAGCGGCGGGCUUAACACAUGCAAGUCGAACGCGAAAGCCCUUCGGGGUUAGUAGAGUGGCGCACGGGUGAGUAACACGUAGGCAACCUGCCCUCAGGAAGGGGACAACUACCCGAAAGGGUAGCUAAUACCGUAUAAGACCACGGUGGCUGCGGCCGCUGGGGUAAAAGCUGGCCUCUACUUGUAAGCUAGCGCCUGAGGAUGGGCCUGCGGACCAUCAGCUAGUUGGUGGGGUAAUGGCCUACCAAGGCUAAGACGGUUAGCUGGUCUGAGAGGAUGAUCAGCCACACUGGCACUGAAACACGGGCCAGACUCCUACGGGAGGCAGCAGUGGGGAAUAUUGGACAAUGGGCGAAAGCCUGAUCCAGCCACGCCGCGUGAGUGAUGAAGGCCUUCGGGUUGUAAAGCUCUGUGGGGAGGGACGAAAAAGGUGGGUAAUAACAAGAUCCGCCCUUGACGGUACCUCCAUAGCAAGCACCGGCUAACUCUGUGCCAGCAGCCGCGGUAAGACAGAGGGUGCGAACGUUGCUCGGAAUUACUGGGCGUAAAGCGCGUGUAGGCGGGUGAUCAAGUCGGAUGUGAAAUCCCCAGGCUCAACCUGGGAACUGCAUUCGAAACUGGUCGCCUUGAGUGCUGGAGAGGGAAGCGGAAUUCCUGGUGUAGAGGUGAAAUUCGUAGAUAUCAGGAGGAACACCGGUGGCGAAGGCGGCUUCCUGGACAGUUACUGACGCUGAGACGCGAAAGCGUGGGGAGCAAACAGGAUUAGAUACCCUGGUAGUCCACGCCGUAAACGAUGAGUGCUAGGUGUCUCGGGUAUUGACCCCUGAGGUGCCGUAGCUAACGCGUUAAGCACUCCGCCUGGGAACUACGGCCGCAAGG
This 908-nucleotide ribosomal RNA is filed under the name uncultured delta proteobacterium. Its description in RNAcentral is "bacterial SSU rRNA". It matches the Rfam family "Bacterial small subunit ribosomal RNA", at positions 8 to 893 of the family's 1533-position model. The record is from RNAcentral. Lineage: Bacteria; Deltaproteobacteria.